UGUCGUUCAAGGCACAACAUCCGAAAGGGUGUGUCGCAAAGCCAGAGGGUCUAAGCCCUGAAGGGGGUAUGACAGCCGUGCUGCCGAC
This 88-nucleotide non-coding RNA is filed under the name Sulfobacillus acidophilus. RNAcentral describes it as "c-di-GMP sequence". It matches the Rfam family "c-di-GMP-I riboswitch aptamer". Rfam says of the family: GEMM was predicted in a large-scale screen for bacterial structured RNA regulatory elements. Genes associated with GEMM are involved in a diverse array of functions, including chemotaxis regulation, signal transduction, secretion and chitin. RNAcentral also lists the same sequence under 1 other name. Lineage: Bacteria; Bacillati; Bacillota; Clostridia; Eubacteriales; Clostridiales Family XVII. Incertae Sedis. The record is from RNAcentral.